CUUGGUCCUAGCAAGUUUCUAUUUCGUGGUGCCUGCGAUUUCUACCCCUUGUUCAAGUCGUGGAAUAGUCACAAUAUGAUUUCUCAGCCCAAGCAAGUUCCGACUUAGGACAAACACCGGUCUGGCCCUGGCUGCGAUUUCUGGGUGCUGUAAAGGGAGCCACAAAUACAAAGAUGAGACACUAGCUGCAGCUUUCACAACUCUAACUGCUGAGUGAGUAAAGACGCUGUCAAGAGGACAUUCAGAACACAGCUAACUCAGUGUUUAUUGCAGGAGCUGAUUUGAAGACCAAAAAGACAAGGUCUGAAUGUGAUGCUUCCCUUCAAAGCCAUGUUUUUUUUUACUUGAAGUGAGGAAAAUAUACAACUAUAGAAAACUAAAGGAAAAAAUAAAGAAACAGAAUAAGAAUGACAGAAUAGAUA
Molecule: long non-coding RNA, 422 nt
Organism: Symphalangus syndactylus (siamang)
Lineage: Eukaryota; Metazoa; Chordata; Mammalia; Primates; Hylobatidae
Source: RefSeq, a predicted model, not a curated record